GCCGUGCGUGAUGGCGAGCCCAAACGACCCGUCCGCUCGCUUCCCAAGCUGGACACGCGGGUUCGAUUCCCGUCAUCGGCU
This 81-nucleotide transfer RNA is filed under the name Phycicoccus sp. HDW14. RNAcentral's name for it is "tRNA-Gly". The record is from RNAcentral. Lineage: Bacteria; Bacillati; Actinomycetota; Actinomycetes; Micrococcales; Intrasporangiaceae.